Oncorhynchus tshawytscha (Chinook salmon) is the source of this 1258-nucleotide long non-coding RNA. The record is from Ensembl. Lineage: Eukaryota; Metazoa; Chordata; Actinopteri; Salmoniformes; Salmonidae.
CUAUAUUACUACAUGAUGUAUCACCUGGAGAGGUGGUACUACUAUAUUACUACAUGAUGUACUAGGGUCAUGGAGAGGUGAUACUACUAUAUUACUACAUGAUGUACUAGGGUCAUGGAGAGGUGAUACUACUAUAUUACUACAUGAUGUAUCACCUGGAGAGGUGGUACUACUAUAUUACUACAUGAUGUACUAGGGUCAUGGAGAGGUGAUACUACUAUAUUACUACAUGAUGUACUAGGGAAAUGGAGAGGUGAUACUACUAAUCUGUGUGCUGUUCCCUACUACAUAAAGCACUACUUUUGACCAGAGCCCCCUAUGUGUUGUAAAGGGAAUAGGGGUGCUGGUUGGGACUUGUGCACUGUUUUCAGUGUCCAGAAUGCAUUGCAAGUCACUACUAAAAGCACUUCCCAUUGAUUAUGUAAUUACAGAGCAGCUCUGAGGGACUACAUCAAUGUUGUUUUAUGAAAUAGUGAAGGUAUAGAAAUGAAUGGCCAAACCAAAUAAAAAACUAAAUACCUUAUCAUGUUUCCAGAUGUAAAAAAAAAAAAAAAAAACACAAAAGUGGAGAGACACAAACCAAUAAAUAAAUUUAAAAAAUGUAAACAUCUGAAAAUAGGAGAAGAGGACAUAAUUGUAUAAACGUCUUGUCUCUCAAUAUAUAACCUAGCGUAGUAAACGUAAAAGAAACACCUGAAAAUAGAUCCCCUACAUACUGGUGUUGACGAUAAGGAGAAGAAAAAGAACAGCUGUCGCGGGAGUUUCUCUUCUGCAUUGUUCAACCAAUCCGGUAAAUGUGGAGGAGGAGUCACUCACCAAGUAAGGAGUUUUUGUAUAGAGGUCAAUGAAAGUGUCAAAUUUGGUAAACCCCCCCAAAAAAUAUGGCUUAUUUGCUAUGUGUCACUUAUUUGAUCUAAUUGAAUAUUCAUAAUGAUUAGGAUGUUACGGGUUGUACUUAUAUAAGUAGGACAUGUUACAUCCCGGAAACUUUAAGAAAAAAAAAACAUUAUAUAUCGGAGUUGUACCUGGUUGUCACUUGUUACCACAGCCACAAACUCAUAAACCCCGCCUAUUUCUAAAAUUGCUCUUCUUAAAAUGUUUUUUUUUUUUUAACUAACCCUAAUCUUAACCACACUGCUAACCUUACGCCUAACCCUAAGCAUUAAAAACAAAAAGUAAAAUGUUUUGUUUGCAUUCAUUUUUACAAUACAUAGCCAAUUUUGACUUUGUGACUGUAGUAACUAAUGGAAGCCGUUGU